RNAcentral lists this ribosomal RNA (492 nucleotides) under uncultured bacterium. Its description in RNAcentral is "partial 16S ribosomal RNA". It matches the Rfam family "Bacterial small subunit ribosomal RNA", at positions 29 to 507 of the family's 1533-position model. The record is from RNAcentral.
AGUGAACGCUGGCGGUAGGCCUAACACAUGCAAGUCGAACGGCAGCACAGUAAGAGCUUGCUCUUACGGGUGGCGAGUGGCGGACGGGUGAGGAAUACAGCGGAAUCUACUUUUUCGUGGGGGAUAACGUAGGGAAACUUACGCUAAUACCGCAUACGACCUACGGGUGAAAGCAGGGGAUCUUCGGACCUUUCGCGAUUGAAUGAGCCGAUGUCGGAUUAGCUAGUUGGCGGGGUAAAGGCCCACCAAGGCGACGAUCCGUAGCUGGUCUGAGAGGAUGAUCAGCCACACUGGAACUGAGACACGGUCCAGACUCCUACGGGAGGCAGCAGUGGGGAAUAUUGGACAAUGGGCGCAAGCCUGAUCCAGCCAUACCGCGUAGGUGAAGAAGGCCUUCGGGUUGUAAAGCCCUUUUGUUGGGAAAGAAAAGCAGCAGGUUAAUACCCCGCUGUUCUGACGGUACCCAAAGAAUAAGCACCGGCUAACUUCGUG